GCUCAGAUUGAACGCUGGCGGCAGGCUUAACACAUGCAAGUCGAGCGGUAGCACAGGGGAGCUUGCUCCCUGGGUGACGAGCGGCGGACGGGUGAGUAAUGUCUGGGAAACUGCCUGAUGGAGGGGGAUAACUACUGGAAACGGUAGCUAAUACCGCAUAACGUCGCAAGACCAAAGAGGGGGACCUUCGGGCCUCUUGCCAUCAGAUGUGCCCAGAUGGGAUUAGCUAGUAGGUGGGGUAAUGGCUCACCUAGGCGACGAUCCCUAGCUGGUCUGAGAGGAUGACCAGCCACACUGGAACUGAGACACGGUCCAGACUCCUACGGGAGGCAGCAGUGGGGAAUAUUGCACAAUGGGCGCAAGCCUGAUGCAGCCAUGCCGCGUGUGUGAAGAAGGCCUUCGGGUUGUAAAGCACUUUCAGCGAGGAGGAAGGUGAUGAGCUUAAUACGCUCAUCAAUGACGUACUCGCAGAAGAAGCACCG
RNAcentral lists this ribosomal RNA (482 nucleotides) under Serratia marcescens. RNAcentral's name for it is "bacterial SSU rRNA". It matches the Rfam family "Bacterial small subunit ribosomal RNA", at positions 22 to 495 of the family's 1533-position model. Lineage: Bacteria; Pseudomonadati; Pseudomonadota; Gammaproteobacteria; Enterobacterales; Yersiniaceae. The record is from RNAcentral.